Molecule: long non-coding RNA, 710 nt
Organism: Myzus persicae (green peach aphid)
Lineage: Eukaryota; Metazoa; Arthropoda; Insecta; Hemiptera; Aphididae
Exons: 2
Source: RefSeq, a predicted model, not a curated record
UAUCAUUAUUAGUCGUAUCACUAAAUCCAGAGAAUCGAGACGUUCGUGCUGCGCCGUCGACGUGGUCGGCAUUCGGCUGCAAUCGCUCGGGCGUUAAAUCAUCGCAGAGUCGAUGGAAACGUUACAAAUUUAAUUGCGCCGCCAGUCAGCCAGCGUGAUAAAUAAUGUUUAAUUUACCUCCCGCAACGGGGUAUGCGCAAGAUGCGAUGUUCGUAUUCCAGGAAGUCGACCGAGUUUGGCACCGUUUUAUAAUCACUCGAGGCUCCCGAGCCAAAUUUAUUAUUCUCAUAUACGUAAAGCAUCAACAUCCACGCUCUGAGACUGCAUCAUUGCCUAUAAUAUAAUUUUCCUAUACUAUAUUUUAAUAUAUACUACAAUAUUAUGUAUUAAUCGUAUAAAUCAUAAAGUUAUAUUUUCUGUAGAUGGUAAAAAAAAAAAUUACAAAAAUAUAUAAUAUGUAUUGUACACAUAUUAUAAUCAUAUAUUAGUUGAACGUUUCUCUUAACACAUGUUCGCAUAUUCCUCCACCUUGAAAUUUGUAUUUAUUGUUAUUGGGUACUUAUUACGUAAUUUUUCUUCAUUUUUAUUAUGUAUAAUACAAUGAUUCCAGUAUACCCUAAUAUAGAUGAGUACAACUAAUACUAGUGCAAUACUAUGCAAUUUUUAAAUUAUUCACACGCAGCAAAAACAACAAGUAAAAUAGACAUGCA